GCAGCCAGAAGCUUUCGUAAGGGGAUUUUCCCAUGGGAAGGUCUGAGAGGGACAGGGUCGAAAUGACAUGUAGUUAGUGCUACAAUCUAGUUUAAUAGAAAUUCGCCUCUUUCUUGACCGAAAUGGGAUGAUAGAAAGAAAGGUUUGGAAAAUGCUAGUAGUCCCAUAAAGAAUAGUCAAACUCGAAAGGCAAUGAUUGUUCUCAUUGUAACUCAAUUCAGACUACUCUUUGGCUGC
This is a non-coding RNA of Nosema bombycis CQ1, 237 nucleotides long. It matches the Rfam family "Nuclear RNase P". From Rfam's summary of the family: Ribonuclease P (RNase P) is a ubiquitous endoribonuclease, found in archaea, bacteria and eukarya as well as chloroplasts and mitochondria. Lineage: Eukaryota; Fungi; Microsporidia; Nosematidae. The record is from Rfam.